UGGGGAAUAUUGGACAAUGGGGGGAAUCCUGAUCCAGCCAUGCCGCGUGUGUGAAGAAGGCCUUAUGGUUGUAAAGCACUUUAAGCAGUGAAGAAUACAUCAUGGCUAAUAUCCGUGAUGAAUGACAUUAGCUGCAGAAUAAGCACCGGCUAACUCUGUGCCAGCAGCCGCGGUAAUACAGAGGGUGCGAGCGUUAAUCGGAAUUACUGGGCGUAAAGCGAGCGUAGGUGGUUUAUUAAGUCAGAUGUGAAAUCCCUGGGCUUAACCUAGGAACUGCAUCUGAUACUGACAAACUAGAGUAGGUGAGAGGAAAGUAGAAUUCCAGGUGUAGCGGUGAAAUGCGUAGAGAUCUGGAGGAAUACCGAUGGCGAAGGCAGCUUUCUGGCAUCAUACUGACACUGAGGUUCGAAAGCGUGGGUAGCAAACAGGAUUAGAUACCCUGGUAGUCCACGCCGUAAACGAUGUCUACCAGUCGUUGGGUCUUUUAAAGACUUAGUGACGCAGUUAACGCGAUAAGUAGACCGCCUGGGGAGUACGGCCGCAAGGUUA
Molecule: ribosomal RNA, 549 nt
Filed under: uncultured bacterium
Lineage: Bacteria
Description: bacterial SSU rRNA
Rfam family: Bacterial small subunit ribosomal RNA
Source: RNAcentral